AUGAACGCUGGCGGCGUGCCUAAUACAUGCAAGUCGAGCGAACGGACGAGAAGCUUGCUUCUCUGAUGUUAGCGGCGGACGGGUGAGUAACACGUGGAUAACCUACCUAUAAGACUGGGAUAACUUCGGGAAACCGGAGCUAAUACCGGAUAAUAUUUUGAACCGCAUGGUUCAAAAGUAAAAGACGGUCUUGCUGUCACUUAUAGAUGGAUCCGCGCUGCAUUAGCUAGUUGGUAAGGUAACGGCUUACCAAGGCAACGAUGCAUAGCCGACCUGAGAGGGUGAUCGGCCACACUGGAACUGAGACACGGGCCAGACUCCUACGGGAGGCAGCAGUAGGGAAUCUUCCGCAAAGGGCGAAAGCCUGACGGAGCAACGCCGCGUGAGUGAUGAAGGUCUUCGGAUCGUAAAACUCUGUUAUUAGGGAAGAACAUAUGUGUAAGUAACUGUGCACAUCUUGACGGUACCUAAUCAGAAAGCCACGGCUAACUACGUG
RNAcentral lists this ribosomal RNA (496 nucleotides) under uncultured bacterium. RNAcentral's name for it is "partial 16S ribosomal RNA". It matches the Rfam family "Bacterial small subunit ribosomal RNA", at positions 29 to 507 of the family's 1533-position model. The record is from RNAcentral.